CGUUGCACUAUCGUUAACUGAAUACAUAGGUUAACGAGGCGAACCGGGGGAACUGAAACAUCUAAGUACCCCGAGGAAAAGAAAUCAACCGAGAUUCCCCCAGUAGCGGCGAGCGAACGGGGAGCAGCCCGGAGUCUGAAUCAGCUUGUGUGUUAGUGGAACGGUCUGGAAAGUCCGACGGUACAGGGUGAUAGUCCCGUACACGAAAGCACACAUGCUGUGAACUCGAAGAGUAGGGCGGGACACGUGGUAUCCUGUCUGAAUAUGGGGGGACCAUCCUCCAAGGCUAAAUACUCCUGACUGACCGAUAGUGAACCAGUACCGUGAGGGAAAGGCGAAAAGAACCCCGGCGAGGGGAGUGAAAAAGAACCUGAAACCGUGUACGUACAAGCAGUGGGAGCCUCUUUAUGGGGUGACUGCGUACCUUUUGUAUAAUGGGUCAGCGACUUAUAUUCUGUAGCAAGGUUAACCGUAUAGGGGAGCCGAAGGGAAACCGAGUCUUAACUGGGCGUUAAGUUGCAGGGUAUAGACCCGAAACCCGGUGAUCUAGCCAUGGGCAGGUUGAAGGUUGGGUAACACUAACUGGAGGACCGAACCGACUAAUGUUGAAAAAUUAGCGGAUGACCUGUGGCUGGGGGUGAAAGGCCAAUCAAACCGGGAGAUAGCUGGUUCUCCCCGAAAGCUAUUUAGGUAGCGCCUCGUGAACUCAUCUUCGGGGGUAGAGCACUGUUUCGGCUAGGGGGCCAUCCCGGCUUACCAACCCGAUGCAAACUACGAAUACCGAAGAAUGUUAUCACGGGAGACACACGGCGGGUGCUAACGUCCGUCGUGAAGAGGGAAACAACCCAGACCGCCAGCUAAGGUCCCAAAGUCAUGGUUAAGUGGGAAACGAUGUGGGAAGGCACAGACAGCCAGGAUGUUGGCUUAGAAGCAGCCAUCAUUUAAAGAAAGCGUAAUAGCUCACUGGUCGAGUCGGCCUGCGCGGAAGAUGUAACGGGGCUAAACCAUGCACCGAAGCUGCGGCAGCGACACUAUGUGUUGUUGGGUAGGGGAGCGUUCUGUAAGCCGUUGAAGGUGUGCUGUGAGGCAUGCUGGAGGUAUCAGAAGUGCGAAUGCUGACAUAAGUAACGAUAAAGCGGGUGAAAAGCCCGCUCGCCGGAAGACCAAGGGUUCCUGUCCAACGUUAAUCGGGGCAGGGUGAGUCGACCCCUAAGGCGAGGCCGAAAGGCGUAGUCGAUGGGAAACAGGUUAAUAUUCCUGUACUUGGUGUUACUGCGAAGGGGGGACGGAGAAGGCUAUGUCAGCCGGGCGACGGUUGUCCCGGUUUAAGCAUGUAGGCGGAGGUUCCAGGUAAAUCCGGUACCUUUUAACGCUGAGGUGUGAUGACGAGGCACUACGGUGCUGAAGUGAUAAAUGCCCUGCUUCCAGGAAAAGCCUCUAAGCAUCAGGUAACAUCAAAUCGUACCCCAAACCGACACAGGUGGUCAGGUAGAGAAUACCAAGGCGCUUGAGAGAACUCGGGUGAAGGAACUAGGCAAAAUGGUGCCGUAACUUCGGGAGAAGGCACGCUGAUGUGUAGGUGAAGCCCCUGCGGGCGGAGCUGAAAUCAGUCGAAGAUACCAGCUGGCUGCAACUGUUUAUUAAAAACACAGCACUGUGCAAACACGAAAGUGGACGUAUACGGUGUGACGCCUGCCCGGUGCCGGAAGGUUAAUUGAUGGGGUUAGCGGCAACGCGAAGCUCUUGAUCGAAGCCCCGGUAAACGGCGGCCGUAACUAUAACGGUCCUAAGGUAGCGAAAUUCCUUGUCGGGUAAGUUCCGACCUGCACGAAUGGCGUAAUGAUGGCCAGGCUGUCUCCACCCGAGACUCAGUGAAAUUGAACUCGCUGUGAAGAUGCAGUGUACCCGCGGCAAGACGGAAAGACCCCGUGAACCUUUACUAUAGCUUGACACUGAACACUGGUCCUUGAUGUGUAGGAUAGGUGGGAGGCUUUGAAGCGUGGACGCCAGUCUGCGUGGAGCCGACCUUGAAAUACCACCCUUUAAUGGCUGGUGUUCUAACGUAGACCCGUAAUCCGGGUUGCGGACAGUGUCUGGUGGGUAGUUUGACUGGGGCGGUCUCCUCCCAAAGAGUAACGGAGGAGCACGAAGGUUGGCUAAUCCUGGUCGGACAUCAGGAGGUUAGUGCAAUGGCAUAAGCCAGCUUGACUGCGAGCGUGACGGCGCGAGCAGGUGCGAAAGCAGGUCAUAGUGAUCCGGUGGUUCUGAAUGGAAGGGCCAUCGCUCAACGGAUAAAAGGUACUCCGGGGAUAACAGGCUGAUACCGCCCAAGAGUUCAUAUCGACGGCGGUGUUUGGCACCUCGAUGUCGGCUCAUCACAUCCUGGGGCUGAAGUAGGUCCCAAGGGUAUGGCUGUUCGCCAUUUAAAGUGGUACGCGAGCUGGGUUUAGAACGUCGUGAGACAGUUCGGUCCCUAUCUGCCGUGGGCGCUGGAGAAUUGAGGGGGGCUGCUCCUAGUACGAGAGGACCGGAGUGGACGCAUCACUGGUGUUCGGGUUGUCAUGCCAAUGGCACUGCCCGGUAGCUAAAUGCGGAAGAGAUAAGUGCUGAAAGCAUCUAAGCACGAAACUUGCCCCGAGAUGAGUUCU
RNAcentral lists this ribosomal RNA (2648 nucleotides) under Enterobacter cloacae. RNAcentral's name for it is "bacterial LSU rRNA". It matches the Rfam family "Bacterial large subunit ribosomal RNA". Lineage: Bacteria; Pseudomonadati; Pseudomonadota; Gammaproteobacteria; Enterobacterales; Enterobacteriaceae. The record is from RNAcentral.